GUCUACAUACACACGUAUGUGUGUCUACACAUACAUGUGUAUAUAUAUCUACAUAUAUCCGCAUGGCCACAAUAGCUGGAAAGCCCGCAGGCUGUGGCGUUAAGACAACAACAACUGGAACACGAAAUGCUGUCAUCCGCAGUCAGUGGCAUUGUUAAAACUAGAAGCUGGCCAAGAAGAAGACCACAAUGCGAUGGAACAAUGGUGGAACAGCAGCCACAGCAAACCAACAUGCACUUGAAAUGCAAGUCAAGAGCAGUUGCAUACGAUCCGAGAGCCAGCCACCCCUUGAAGUAUGCAAUGGAUUUUGGAUUUGGGAUCGUAGCUGGAAAUCGCUUCCAUUGAACUCGAAAACCUUCACAAUUCGUAUUGCUUUCGUUUGUUGUUCUUUGCUAGCUAAAAGUAAGCAAAACAUCGAGGGAUUUGUGCCUUGUUUGUCGAUGAAAUUACUCGCAUGUUUAUUGGCUUUGUGGGCAACAAGCUAGCACAUAUGUAUGUGUCCGUUUGAAAGUAGCACAUGAGAAAAUAUAUAUCUACUCUUAUGUGCAGCUGUACAAAUUGGUUUAGCCUGGCCCCAGUUGAUAACCCAAUCAGAUAGCACCAUCAAUAUUUUGGCCAUCAAUUUAAUGGCAAACAAUUAAAUGAUAAGCAAUAAAUUACCUUUCCAAGGAAGCAUUUCUCUUGGCUGUGAAACUAUCGUUGCCCAACGUCAGUUUCCAUAAAUAUUUGCUGACUCAUGAGAAUAGCAUGGCGAUAAGAUAAAUUCAGUGUUAUGCAAUGCAAUCGACUGCAUUUGCUCAAAUGGCGUAAAAACUGAGCUGCAAUAUGAAUCUGAAGCCGGAACUGGCGCUGAUGACUCCUUGAAAUUCUAGCGAACAGAAAUCAAAUAUGCGCCCACAAGUAAACCAAGCGGCGGACAGAAAGCAAAGCAAAGAAUUCACGUUCCAUCCGGAGCAGCAGGAAAAUGGAAAAGCAGAAGGAAAAGCAAAUCGCGACCGGCAGCACACAGGCAGCAUAGGAAUGAAGGCCCGCCCGCAGGACACACGGGAGAAAAGCACGCUUCAAGUUAUUUUUUCACCAUGAAAUCUCUAAGGAACUCCCAGUCGACUUUUGCACACCAUGCACAAGAAGAAAAUCUUGAUUAAAAUGUAUUGUACAAGUAAUUGGUUAUUUAAAUGGUUU
This is a non-coding RNA of Drosophila melanogaster (fruit fly), 1182 nucleotides long. The record is from Ensembl. Lineage: Eukaryota; Metazoa; Arthropoda; Insecta; Diptera; Drosophilidae.